Numida meleagris (helmeted guineafowl) is the source of this 1306-nucleotide long non-coding RNA. RefSeq lists it as uncharacterized. The transcript is spliced from 5 exons. The record is from RefSeq and is a predicted model, not a curated record. Lineage: Eukaryota; Metazoa; Chordata; Aves; Galliformes; Numididae.
CCCAGACCUCAUUUAAGGGUAGGCAGUGAAAGUAAGGGCAUCUCACUAGAGAUCUCUGUGUAUCUGAGGCCUUCUAAGGGCAAGCACAACAGUGAGCUCCACUGCAGACAGGAAAUCCAGAGCAAAGAAUGAGUCCACGCGUAAAAUAAACUUCAACACAGGCAAAGGGAAUUUCAAGCUGAAGAGCACACAGAUGGCAAGGGGGAGACAGCUGGUGUGACAGGCUGUAUGGAGUAGACAUACAAUUCUUGAGAAGUGCUCCCAGAAUCCCAGUGCCAUAAAAGCUGCUGCUCUUUUUUUGACCCAGGGUGACAUGAUACAUCUGUUUGUGUCUGGUGUGUCUUUACUGCCUUCAUUCUCAGAUCUGAACAUGGCACUUGCACUUAUGAAGCCUUGCCUCCACAUCUGCAAAUAGUCUCACUGCUCGAGUGAAUCCCCCUCUGGGAGUGAAGAUGCAUUGGACAUGGACCAUGUGAAAACGUGUGCAUUUAGUCAAGGGUGCCCCAGAUGUAUUGGAACCAUGCUUUCCAUUCCAGCACCCUCUCUGUUGAAAAUUCAGGAGUAUAUGUUUGUUUAUUUGCUUUGCAUCGUGGGUGUAUACACGUCUGACAUACAUUCUCUUUACAGUCUGAAUCAAUUAUUUUACCUCUCCUCCUUUUGUCCUAUCUCAGCUCGCUUACACUCCAGAGACAUACUGGUCCCAUAGGAAUUGGAGUCAAGAAGAAAAACUAACUCAAUUUAUGACUCUAUAUCAGGGACACUGUACUCAUUUGUUUUUACGUUUGCCCAAAGACCUUAGACUGAAACUCGGAGAUUAAAUUGCAUGCCUUGUGGAGAGAACAGAUGAGAUCUCUGAUCCUUGUCAGUAUAAGAUGAAGAAAAUUCCUUUCUGAUCCCAAAUCUAACACAAUUGCAGCCUGAGCAGAUAAGUAAGAAAAACGUUAAGUUUUAUCUGCUAUUGCUACUUUAUCGUAUCCCUUGUUCCGCAUGUGAUUCAAGCUGUGCAUGAUGGGAACAGCUGACACUCCUGGCGGUACUGUUAGUUCUAGAUCAUGUCCAGUCCAUUUUAAUGAGUGGUUCAGUCAAUGAGCACCAGAAAAACACCUUCCUGAGCCAUGCAGGAGGCUGGCAGAAACCUUGAAAUCUUGAGAUCUGAUUUUGACCACUAUGCUGGUGUAUCCCCGGGAAUGCCUGGACCAGGCUGAGGAUGCCUGACCUGGGCACAGGGAGGGGUCUGACACAGAGAGCCCUGGCCAUGUGGAGGAAAGGCUAUGGGUGGCCAUUCUGGCAUCCAGUCCUCACCUCA